CUGAAGGAGGAGCUUGCUUCUCUGGAUGAGUUGCGAACGGGUGAGUAACGCGUAGGUAACCUGCCUGGUAGCGGGGGAUAACUAUUGGAAACGAUAGCUAAUACCGCAUAAUAGUAGAUGUUGCAUGACAUUUGCUUAAAAGGUGCAAUUGCAUCACUACCAGAUGGACCUGCGUUGUAUUAGCUAGUUGGUGAGGUAACGGCUCACCAAGGCGACGAUACAUAGCCGACCUGAGAGGGUGAUCGGCCACACUGGGGCUGAGACACGGCCCAGACUCCUACGGGAGGCAGCAGUAGGGAAUCUUCGGCAAUGGACGGAAGUCUGACCGAGCAACGCCGCGUGAGUGAAGAAGGUUUUCGGAUCGUAAAGCUCUGUUGUAAGAGAAGAACGAGUGUGAGAGUGGAAAGUUCACACUGUGACGGUAUCUUACCAGAAAGGGACGGCUAACUACGUGCCAGCAGCCGCGGUAAUACGUAGGUCCCGAGCGUUGUCCGGAUUUAUUGGGCGUAAAGCGAGCGCAGGCGGUUAGAUAAGUCUGAAGUUAAAGGCUGUGGCUUAACCAUAGUACGCUUUGGAAACUGUUUAACUUGAGUGCAAGAGGGGAGAGUGGAAUUCCAUGUGUAGCGGUGAAAUGCGUAGAUAUAUGGAGGAACACCGGUGGCGAAAGCGGCUCUCUGGCUUGUAACUGACGCUGAGGCUCGAAAGCGUGGGGAGCAAACAGGAUUAGAUACCCUGGUAGUCCACGCCGUAAACGAUGAGUGCUAGGUGUUAGACCCUUUCCGGGGUUUAGUGCCGCAGCUAACGCAUUAAGCACUCCGCCUGGGGAGUACGACCGCAAGGUUGAAACUCAAAGGAAUUGACGGGGGCCCGCACAAGCGGUGGAGCAUGUGGUUUAAUUC
This 899-nucleotide ribosomal RNA is filed under the name uncultured Streptococcus sp. RNAcentral describes it as "bacterial SSU rRNA". It matches the Rfam family "Bacterial small subunit ribosomal RNA", at positions 67 to 952 of the family's 1533-position model. The record is from RNAcentral. Lineage: Bacteria; Bacillati; Bacillota; Bacilli; Lactobacillales; Streptococcaceae.